Molecule: long non-coding RNA, 361 nt
Filed under: Bos taurus (domestic cattle)
Lineage: Eukaryota; Metazoa; Chordata; Mammalia; Artiodactyla; Bovidae
Description: long non-coding RNA NONBTAT017934
Source: RNAcentral
AUAGAUGGCUGGGGGCCGGUGACUCUGGCUUUCACUGCUAGAUCGCACUGUGCCCCUGCCCUGGGUGAACACCUUCAAUCAUCCUUCCCUGCUGGAGAGAACCAGGGGCUGGUGUGCCUGCAGCUCCCUUCGCCUUCUGAAUGGUUGUGAUUUUUGUGCUUCAAGGAGGAAAGAAAAGGGAUUCCUUUUUACAGCACAUGUUUAUAACCCCAGCCGGUAAAAGCGGCUGUGGAAGGCCUCCUGUGCUUUACACACAUUCUCUGCUGGAUCUGAGUAAUACUUUGUUCCAGAGAGGAGGCCAUCAUUUAGAGAGGUUGGGUCGGGAAGUUGUCAGGACAGCUUGGUGGAGGCCCACCCCUCC